CGAAGGGUGCAAGCGUUAAUCGGAAUUACUGGGCGUAAAGCGCGCGUAGGUGGCUUGAUAAGUUGGAUGUGAAUCCCCGGGCUCGAACCUGGGAACUGCAUCCAAAACUGUCUGGCUAGAGUGCGGUAGAGGGUAGUGGAAUUUCCAGUGUAGCGGUGAAAUGCGUAGAUAUUGGAAGGACACCAGUGCGAAGGCGACUACCUGGACUGACACUGACACUGAGUGCGAAAGCGUGGGAGCAAACAGGAUU
This 250-nucleotide ribosomal RNA is filed under the name uncultured bacterium. RNAcentral describes it as "partial 16S ribosomal RNA". It matches the Rfam family "Bacterial small subunit ribosomal RNA", at positions 526 to 779 of the family's 1533-position model. The record is from RNAcentral.